AUUGAACGCUGGCGGCAGGCCUAACAAAUGCAAGUCGAACGAGUGGCGGACGGGUGAGUAAUGUCUGGGAAACUGCCUGAUGGAGGGGGAUAACUACUGGAAACGGUAGCUAAUACCGCAUACCAUCGGAUGUGCCCAGAGGGGAUUAGCUUGUAGGUGAGGUAAAGGCUCACCUCGGCGACGAUCCCUAGCUGGUCUGAGCGGAUGACCGGCCACACUGGAACUGAGACACUGUCCAGACGCCUACGGAAGGCCGCAGUGGGGAAUAUUGCACAAUGGGCGCAAGCCUGAGGCAGCCAUGCCGCGUGUAUGAAGAAGGCCUUGGGGUUGUAAAGUACUUUCCGCGGGGAGGCGUUACCCGCAGAAGAAGCUCCGGCUAACUCCGUGCCAGCAGCCGCGGUAAUUC
RNAcentral lists this ribosomal RNA (406 nucleotides) under uncultured bacterium. RNAcentral describes it as "partial 16S ribosomal RNA". It matches the Rfam family "Bacterial small subunit ribosomal RNA", at positions 30 to 526 of the family's 1533-position model. The record is from RNAcentral.